This 380-nucleotide ribosomal RNA is filed under the name uncultured bacterium. Its description in RNAcentral is "bacterial SSU rRNA". It matches the Rfam family "Bacterial small subunit ribosomal RNA", at positions 28 to 412 of the family's 1533-position model. The record is from RNAcentral.
GAUGAACGCUAGCGGCAGGCUUAACACAUGCAAGUCGAGGGGUAUGCUGAUUUAUCGGCAGAGACCGGCGCACGGGUGCGUAACGCGUAUGCAAUCUACCUUUCACAGAGGGAUAGCCCAGAGAAAUUUGGAUUAAUACCUCAUAGUAUAGCAGUUUCGCAUGAAACCACUAUUAAAGUUCCAACGGUGAAAGAUGAGCAUGCGUCCCAUUAGCUAGAUGGUAAGGUAACGGNUUACCAUGGCUACGAUGGGUAGGGUCCUGAGAGGGAGAUCCCCCANACUGGUACUGAGACACGGACCAGACCUCCUACGGGAGGCAGCAGUGAGGAAUAUGGACAAUGGGCGCAAGCCUGAUCCAGCCAUGCCGCGUGCAGGAUGAC